Molecule: non-coding RNA, 839 nt
Organism: Gasterosteus aculeatus aculeatus (three-spined stickleback)
Lineage: Eukaryota; Metazoa; Chordata; Actinopteri; Perciformes; Gasterosteidae
Source: RefSeq, a predicted model, not a curated record
GGUGGCUGGUUGGCCCCCGCGGGUUUGGUACGGGCUCCAUUCGGGACAAGGACUGCACACGGAGGAGAAGAUGGACCCUGAAACUAAAGACAUCUGUAAACUUUUAUCCUAUUUCCAUUUAUGUAUUAUGUGUCUAUUCAUGUCUGAUUUUGUGUUUUCAUUAUUAUUUCUGAAAUAGGUCUCAUGGGAAAGUAUUUUGCUCCACGAUGUUUCGAGGGUAGGUCUGGAAUUCCGCUAGUUCUGAACUAUUCGGGAUUGGUAAAAGUUCACUACUAGCAGAACUCAGAUUUGCUCCCGACUACCGCCGAGAACCUCCAUGUGCCACCGGGAGCAGGUGGGAACGUUUGUGCUCCACCUGAACAGCAGCUGGUCUCCUGCACUAAUUACUCUGGUGUAAAGUGAACCGAGCGUUGCUACUCUUCACGUUCACUUCACAUCAGUUGACCCGUGGCGGCCCGCAAGCCGGCGGCAAAGGUGUCUGUUGAUUUGGCCGAUUGAUUUUCAUCUGUUCUCCCGCAGCACAACAGGCAGGCAACGCGUAACCAGCCAGUCAUGGCUUUCAGAUCUGAAACGGCUUCGACUGACGUGUUGAGAUGUAUUGUGUUUGGUAGAUGUUAUAUAAUAAUGAACAAAGAUUGGUUACACUACUGAGGCAAAUACUUUGUGAAAUGUGAAAAAACGUGUAACUACCGAGAUUAAUGGGUUAUUAUUAACCCAUUAUUCACUUAAUCCGCUUAAGAUAAUGGUCACACAGCACAACAAUAUAUCUUGUUUCUGUGCACUUCUAUUAUGUGUAACAAUAGAUGGCAAGAUGUGUGCGUGUUCGUCUGCCAAAGUAU